UGAGACCUACGGGGGGCAGCAGUGGGGAAUAUUGCACAAUGGGCGAAAGCCUGAUGCAGCAACGCCGCGUGAAGGAAGACGGUUUUCGGAUUGUAAACUUCUAUCAAUAGGGAAGAAAGAAAUGACGGUACCUAAAUAAGAAGCCCCGGCUAAAUACGUGCCAGCAGCCGCGGUAAUACGUAUGGAGCAAGCGUUAUCCGGAUUUACUGGGUGUAAAGGGAGCGCAGACGGCAAGGCAAGUCUGAUGUGAAAGUCCGAGGCUCAACCUCGGGACUGCAUUGGAAACUGUCUGGCUAGAGUGCAGG
Molecule: ribosomal RNA, 305 nt
Filed under: uncultured bacterium
Lineage: Bacteria
Description: bacterial SSU rRNA
Rfam family: Bacterial small subunit ribosomal RNA
Source: RNAcentral